RNAcentral lists this ribosomal RNA (465 nucleotides) under Vreelandella stevensii. Its description in RNAcentral is "partial 16S ribosomal RNA". It matches the Rfam family "Bacterial small subunit ribosomal RNA", at positions 338 to 795 of the family's 1533-position model. The record is from RNAcentral. Lineage: Bacteria; Pseudomonadati; Pseudomonadota; Gammaproteobacteria; Oceanospirillales; Halomonadaceae.
CCUACGGGCGGCAGCAGUGGGGAAUAUUGGACAAUGGGGGGAACCCUGAUCCAGCCAUGCCGCGUGUGUGAAGAAGGCCCUCGGGUUGUAAAGCACUUUCAGUGAGGAAGAACGCCUGGUGGUUAAUACCCAUCAGGAAAGACAUCACUCACAGAAGAAGCACCGGCUAACUCCGUGCCAGCAGCCGCGGUAAUACGGAGGGUGCGAGCGUUAAUCGGAAUUACUGGGCGUAAAGCGCGCGUAGGUGGCUUGAUAAGCCGGUUGUGAAAGCCCCGGGCUCAACCUGGGAACGGCAUCCGGAACUGUCAAGCUAGAGUGCAGGAGAGGAAGGUAGAAUUCCCGGUGUAGCGGUGAAAUGCGUAGAGAUCGGGAGGAAUACCAGUGGCGAAGGCGGCCUUCUGGACUGACACUGACACUGAGGUGCGAAAGCGUGGGUAGCAAACAGGAUUAGAUAUCCGAGUAGUC